This 482-nucleotide ribosomal RNA is filed under the name uncultured bacterium. RNAcentral describes it as "partial 16S ribosomal RNA". It matches the Rfam family "Bacterial small subunit ribosomal RNA", at positions 30 to 507 of the family's 1533-position model. The record is from RNAcentral.
AUUGAACGCUGGCGGCAUGCUUUACACAUGCGAGUCGAACGGUAACAGGCCGCAAGGUGCUGACGAGUGGCGAACGGGUGAGUAAUGCAUCGGAACGUGCCCAGUCGUGGGGGAUAACUACUCGAAAGAGUAGUUAAUACCGCAUACGAUCUAUGGAUGAAAGCGGGGGACCGUAAGGCCUCGCGCGAUUGGAGCGGCCGAUGUCAGAUUAGGUAGUUGGUGGGGUAAAGGCUCACCAAGCCAACGAUCUGUAGCUGGUCUGAGAGGACAACCAGCCACACUAGGACUGAGACACGGCCCAGACUCCUACGGGAGGCAGCAGUGGGGAAUUUUGGACAAUGGGCGCAAGCCUGAUCCAGCAAUGCCGCGUGCAGGAAGAAGGCCUUCGGGUUGUAAACUGCUUUUGUACGGAACGAAACGGCUCUGGUUAAUACCCGGGGCUAAUGACGGUACCGUAAGAAUAAGCACCGGCUAACUACGUG